This 383-nucleotide ribosomal RNA is filed under the name uncultured bacterium. Its description in RNAcentral is "bacterial SSU rRNA". It matches the Rfam family "Bacterial small subunit ribosomal RNA", at positions 28 to 411 of the family's 1533-position model. The record is from RNAcentral.
GACGAACGCUGGCGGCGUGCUUAACACAUGCAAGUCGAGCGGUAAGGCCCUUUCGGGGGUACACGAGCGGCGAACGGGUGAGUAACACGUGGGUGACCUGCCCUCAGCUCUGGGAUAAGCCUGGGAAACCGGGUCUAAUACUGGAUAUGACUCCAUGACGCAUGUUGGUGGGGUGGAAAGCCUUGUGCGGCUGAGGAUGGGCCCGCGGCCUAUCAGCUUGUUGGUGGGGUGANGGCCUACCAAGGCGACGACGGGUAGCCGGCCUGAGAGGGCGACCGGCCACACUGGGACUGAGACACGGCCCAGACUCCUACGGGAGGCAGCAGUGGGGAAUCUUGCGCAAUGGGCGAAAGCCUGACGCAGCGACGCCGCGUGAGGGAUGA